This 253-nucleotide unclassified non-coding RNA is filed under the name uncultured Spirochaetota bacterium. RNAcentral describes it as "uncultured Spirochaetes bacterium contains 16S-23S intergenic spacer region". It matches the Rfam family "Bacterial small subunit ribosomal RNA", at positions 524 to 776 of the family's 1533-position model. Lineage: Bacteria; Pseudomonadati; Spirochaetota. The record is from RNAcentral.
UACGUAUGGGGCAAGCGUUGUUCGGAUUCAUUGGGCGUAAAGGGCACGCAGGCGGAUUGCUAAGUUGGAUGUUUAAUCCCCAGGCUUAACCUGGGAUCAGCAUCCAAAACUGGCAAUCUAGAGUACCAGAGGGGAAAGCGGAAUUCUCGGUGUAGCGGUGGAAUGCGUAGAUAUCGAGAGGAACACCAGUGGCGAAGGCGGCUUUCUGGCUGGAUACUGACGCUCAGGUGCGAAAGCGUGGGGAGCAAACAGG